UAGUUUGCGACCUCGAUGUUGGAUUAGGAUUCUUUUUUAGUGAAGAAAUUAAAGAGAAGAAGUUUGUUCAACUUUUAAACUCCUACAUGAUCUGAGUUCAGACCGGCGUGAGCCAGGUUGGUUUCUAUCUUAAUUAAAAAUAUGUUUAUUUUUUUAGUACGAAAGGAAUAGGAAAUAUUAAUUUAAUUAAAUUAAUAGUUUAAAUUUAUUAAAUUAG
This 217-nucleotide ribosomal RNA is filed under the name Ixodes simplex. Its description in RNAcentral is "partial large rRNA subunit". The stretch from base 1 to 130 matches the Rfam family "Bacterial large subunit ribosomal RNA", at positions 2514 to 2643 of the family's 2925-position model. Lineage: Eukaryota; Metazoa; Arthropoda; Arachnida; Ixodida; Ixodidae. The record is from RNAcentral.